Molecule: non-coding RNA, 29 nt
Filed under: Rattus norvegicus (Norway rat)
Lineage: Eukaryota; Metazoa; Chordata; Mammalia; Rodentia; Muridae
Source: RNAcentral
UACUUACGACUGGGUUAUUUUCACUUGGA